This 253-nucleotide ribosomal RNA is filed under the name uncultured bacterium. RNAcentral describes it as "partial 16S ribosomal RNA". It matches the Rfam family "Bacterial small subunit ribosomal RNA", at positions 524 to 776 of the family's 1533-position model. The record is from RNAcentral.
UACGUAGGGGGCAAGCGUUGUCCGGAUUUAUUGGGCGUAAAGAGCGUGUAGGCGGCUUGGUAGGUCCGCUGUGAAAACUCGAGGCUCAACCUCGAGAUGUCGGCGGAAACCACUUGGCUAGAGUCCGGAAGAGGAGAGUGGAAUUCCUGGUGUAGCGGUGAAAUGCGCAGAUAUCAGGAAGAACACCUAUGGCGAAGGCAGCUCUCUGGGACGGUACUGACGCUGAGACGCGAAAGCGUGGGGAGCAAACGGG